AUUGAACGCUGGCGGCAUGCCUUACACAUGCAAGUCGAACGGUAGAGGGGGCAACCCCUUGAGAGUGGCGAACGGGUGAGUAAUAUAUCGGAACGUGCCCAGUCGUGGGGAUAACGUAGCGAAAGUUACGCUAAUACCGCAUACGAUCUAAGGAUGAAAGCGGGGGAUCGCAAGACCUCGCGCGAUUGGAGCGGCCGAUAUCAGAUUAGGUAGUUGGUGAGGUAAAGGCUCACCAAGCCAACGAUCUGUAGCUGGUCUGAGAGGACGACCAGCCACACUGGAACUGAGACACGGUCCAGACUCCUACGGGAGGCAGCAGUGGGGAAUUUUUGGGACAAUGGACGCAAGUCUGAUCCAGCCAUUCCGCGUGCAGGAUGAAGGCCCUCGGGUUGUAAACUGCUUUUGUACGGAACGAAAAGGUUUCUAUUAAUACUAGGAGCUCAUGACGGUACCGUAAGAAUAAGCACCGGCUAACUACGUGCCAGCAGCCGCGGU
Molecule: ribosomal RNA, 495 nt
Filed under: uncultured bacterium
Lineage: Bacteria
Description: bacterial SSU rRNA
Rfam family: Bacterial small subunit ribosomal RNA
Source: RNAcentral